Molecule: ribosomal RNA, 504 nt
Filed under: uncultured bacterium
Lineage: Bacteria
Description: bacterial SSU rRNA
Rfam family: Bacterial small subunit ribosomal RNA
Source: RNAcentral
AGUUUGAUCCUGGCUCAGAUUGAACGCUGGCGGCAUGCUUUACACAUGCAAGUCGAACGGCAGCGGGUCCUUCGGGAUGCCGGCGAGUGGCGAACGGGUGAGUAAUGCAUCGGAACGUACCGUGUAAUGGGGGAUAACGUAGCGAAAGUUACGCUAAUACCGCAUACGCCCUGAGGGGGAAAGUGGGGGACCUUCGGGCCUCACACUAUACGAGCGGCCGAUGGCUGAUUAGCUAGUUGGUGGGGUAAAGGCCUACCAAGGCUUCGAUCAGUAGCGGGUCUGAGAGGACGAUCCGCCACACUGGGACUGAGACACGGCCCAGACUCCUACGGGAGGCAGCAGUGAGGAAUUUUGGACAAUGGGGGCAACCCUGAUCCAGCCAUGCCGCGUGUCUGAAGAAGGCCUUCGGGUUGUAAAGGACUUUUGUUGGGGAACAAGCUUAUCUUGUCUAAUAAACAAGAUAGCAUGAGUGUACCCAAAGAAUAAGCACCGGCUAACUACGUG